MicroRNA precursor from Apteryx rowi (Okarito brown kiwi), 62 nucleotides. Lineage: Eukaryota; Metazoa; Chordata; Aves; Apterygiformes; Apterygidae. The record is from Ensembl.
AAGAGAUUUACAUGCGUAACUCCCAUUAACUCUUAUGGGACUUAGGCACGUAAAUCUCUCGU